GUGCUCACUUUGGUAGCAGAUAUACUAAAAUUGGAAUGAUACAGAGAUUAGCAUCACCCUUGCAAAAGGAUGACAUACAAAUUUGUGAAACGUUCCAUGUUUUU
Small nuclear RNA from Nomascus leucogenys (northern white-cheeked gibbon), 104 nucleotides. The record is from Ensembl. Lineage: Eukaryota; Metazoa; Chordata; Mammalia; Primates; Hylobatidae.